This 534-nucleotide ribosomal RNA is filed under the name uncultured bacterium. RNAcentral describes it as "bacterial SSU rRNA". It matches the Rfam family "Bacterial small subunit ribosomal RNA", at positions 505 to 1040 of the family's 1533-position model. The record is from RNAcentral.
GUGCCAGCCGCUGCGGUAAUACGGAGGGUGCAAGCGUUAAUCGGAAUUACUGGGCGUAAAGCGCACGCAGGCGGUCUGUUAAGUCAGAUGUGAAAUCCCCGGGCUCAACCUGGGAACUGCAUCUGAUACUGGCAGGCUUGAGUCUCGUAGAGGGGGGGUAGAAUUCCAGGUGUAGCGGUGAAAUGCGUAGAGAUCUGGAGGAAUACCGGUGGCGAAGGCGGCCCCCUGGACGAAGACUGACGCUCAGGUGCGAAAGCGUGGGGAGCAAACAGGAUUAGAUACCCUGGUAGUCCACGCCGUAAACGAUGUCGACUUGGAGGUUGUGCCCUUGAGGCGUGGCUUCCGGAGCUAACGCGUUAAGUCGACCGCCUGGGGAGUACGGCCGCAAGGUUAAAACUCAAAUGAAUUGACGGGGCCCGCACAAGCGGUGGAGCAUGUGGUUAAUUCGAUGCAACGCGAAGAACCUUACCUGGUCUUGACAUCCACGGAAGUUUCAGAGAUGAGAAUGUGCCUUCGGGAACCGUGAGACAGGUG